RNAcentral lists this ribosomal RNA (729 nucleotides) under uncultured organism. RNAcentral describes it as "bacterial SSU rRNA". It matches the Rfam family "Bacterial small subunit ribosomal RNA", at positions 734 to 1461 of the family's 1533-position model. The record is from RNAcentral.
CGCACACUGACGUUCAGGCGCGAAAGCCUGGGUAGCAGACAGGAUUAGAUACCCUGGUAGUCCACGCCAUAAACGAUGGGUACUAGGUGUCGGGGGUAUCGACCCCUCCGGUGCCGCAGUUAACGCACUAAGUACCCCGCCUGGGGAUCAUGGUCGCAAGGCUGAAACUCAAAGGAAUUGACGGGGCCCCGCACAAGCGGUGGAGCAUGUGGUUUAAUUCGACGCAACGCGAAGAACCUUACCUGGGCUUGACAUGCUUGGGACAGCGCUGGAAACAGCGUCUCUCCUUCGGGAGCCCUUGCACAGGUGCUGCAUGGCUGUCGUCAGCUCGUGUCGUGAGAUGUUGGGUUAAGUCCCGCAACGAGCGCAACCCUCGUUACUAGUUGCCAUCAGUUCGGCUGGGCACUCUAGUGAGACUGCCGGUGAUAAACCGGAGGAAGGUGAGGAUGAUGUCAAGUCAUCAUGGCCCUUACGCCCAGGGCUACACACGUGCUACAAUGGUCGGCACAAAGGGUCGCUAAGCCGCGAGGUGGAGCUAAUCCCAAAAAGCCGGCCUCAGUUCGGAUUGGAGUCUGCAACCCGACUCCAUGAAGGCGGAAUCGCUAGUAAUCGCGGAUCAGCAUGCCGCGCUGAAUAUGUUCCCGGGGCUUGUACACACCGCCCGUCAUAUCACCCGAGUCGGGGAUACCCGAAGUCCGUGACCCAACCAUUUGGAGGGAGCGGCCGAAG